GUGGCAGAGUGGACGCCGAAGGCGACCCAGAAGGUGGAGACGGCCAGGUUUAAAUGAUCUGUGCUCCAAAUGAACAAAUCAGCAGCACCUGUAAAGGGGAGGAGCACAAAGACCGACAACAAGGCACCUGACUCAGCCCAUAAGGCCCAGGGCCGUAACAUCUACCAAGAUCCUUGAAAGACAGCUGCAAUUUUGACACAUGGAUAUUUCUCAAUGUGUCAAUAGGGAGGAUAAUUACUAUAUUACUACCAAAUAUGGAUUAAAAAUUAUGGAUUAAAAAAAAUCUAAUUCUUACUUAAAAUUUUUUGUACUACAUCAGUGUGAAAAACAAUCCUCAAGGAAACAUGAGACCAAAAAGAGGAAGUUUCCCAAACCUUUCUUAUCUGUUCCAGACAAUGCAUAUGGAUUUUAUUGAACUUCACGAAGUGGGCCUUAUAAAUAUUGUUUGGUAAUGAUUGAUGCAUUUUCUAAAUGGGUUUUAAUAAGUCCCAGCAAAGCAUGCAGAUGCUUUGACAGUAGCUAAAGCUAUAUGUAAAACCAUUAUUCCAACAAAUGGUAUACCAAACUAUUUAUAGUGAGAAUGGACCACAUUUUGUAAACAAGGUUAUACAAAGUAUGGCUACUCAUUAGGAAUAAGAUUGAAAAACCAUUAGUGCUGACCUAAUGAAAGAACAAUGGAACAGUAAAAUAGAUUAAUAAAAUGUAUAGAAACAACUAACAGGCCAUGGCCAGAAUGUUUAGAUUUGGUGAAGUUGCACAUGAGAAUUAAACCCACACAGGAAGGAUUAACUAUUUGAAAUAAUUCAUGGAAGACCAUGCAGAUUUUAUUAUUUUUUUAUGCAGAUUUACAGAAAGCAGAUGAGGAGCAAACAAUGGCAGACUAGACGAUUAGGACUCUAAGACAGAAAGAAGUGUCAAAUGCAAAGGGUUAGGGUUAGGGUCUGACCCUGCUCUCUCACAGGAAACCCCUCCCAUCAAGCCAGGAGACUGGGUGUAUAUCAAAGUCAUAAAAAGAAAGUGCUGGGCCAGUCCACGGUGGGAGGGACCAUUCCGAGUGCUGAUAACCACACCAACUGCUGUAAAGAUUGCUGAAAGACCCAGAUGGAUACAUCUCAGUCACUAUAAGGUACAGAGGGUGUUGGACCUCUAAAUCAGAGUGACAGGGAAGCCUGACUUUCAAAGGGGUUCUGUUGUUUAGGGCAGUUCGUCUCAACUGUCAGCAGAAGAAUUCAACAGAUCCUCACUCUGCUAGGCUGGGGGUCUUGACAUCUCUGUAUUCUGAGCAGCAAUGAUCCACAUGCCAGGUGGAUCCUCUACUGUUUUGCAGAGGGAGUGGUCUCACUCUCAACAGGAUAAGGAGAGAAGCAGACACAUCCUCCCUCCAGACUCAUCCACAUGACUACAGCACCAACUUGUGGUGGCAACUGAUGAACAGGACUGCAUAUGAGGGAAAUGAGACCAACUGCUAUGUGUGUGCACAGCUACCCUAUUCCACACACAACUCUGGUCUGAGACCUGGAAACAUAACCAAA
Molecule: long non-coding RNA, 1532 nt
Organism: Gambusia affinis (western mosquitofish)
Lineage: Eukaryota; Metazoa; Chordata; Actinopteri; Cyprinodontiformes; Poeciliidae
Exons: 2
Source: RefSeq, a predicted model, not a curated record